GGAGGAGUGACCGAGUGGCUUAAGGUGGCGGUCUUGAAAACCGUUGUGCGGCGACGUACCGGGGGUUCGAAUCCCUCCUCCUCCG
Molecule: transfer RNA, 85 nt
Filed under: Planctomycetota bacterium
Lineage: Bacteria; Pseudomonadati; Planctomycetota
Also listed under: 1 other name
Description: Planctomycetes bacterium tRNA-Ser
Rfam family: tRNA
About the family: Transfer RNA (tRNA) molecules are approximately 80 nucleotides in length.
Source: RNAcentral